CAAGUUUUGCGCCAAAAACAAAUUUCAUUACCUUUUUUGGGUUUAUAUUCUAAAAUUUAUUCAUUUCUUCCCGGAACACCACUUUCUUCUCAAGAUUUCAGUUCCAAUCGUGUCAAGAUUCCCAAGACUACCACUCCGGGGGAGCACCACUCGCAGGGCCGAAAGAAACUUGCACAGAGGCUGCAAAAUCUAAAGAAUGCCGUAGAGAAGCAAACGGAAACCUUAGAGAAAGAACUCAACGCUUUGUUCCGUUAUUAUAAGGAAGCCGUGACUGAGAGAGUACACGUCGAACUGAGUCAGAGCGGUGGUUCACGAAACGCCUUUGUGGCAGCUCUGUUAGAGGAGAGUUGUUUCCGUUGUCGAAGCUUGUUGACGAGAUUUACAACAGAUUGAACGAGGAGGUCGGUAAUGACGCAAUCGUGUUGGCGCAGCCCGUGACCUACUCCACUCUACUGUAAAAACAAUGAAUACAUGUGAGAAUCAUCCUCAGGGAGUUGUUUUGGUAAAAUUCAAGGAUAGGAAGGAUGCCCAAAAGUGCAUAGAAUUGAUGAAUGAAAGAUGGUACUAACAUUCAAAAUAAUGAAGAGGUUUGUUGUGCAGUACACCGCAAUUAAGCCUCUACGUGACAGAGUACUGAUAAAAGUUAAGAAAGCAUAAGAGAAAAGUGAAGGUGGGAUUUUGCUUCCCUCAACGUUGGUGUUUCCUUAUUUUCAGAGUGGCGUAAGUCACGGGCUCUACCAGCACGAUUGUGCCGUUACCGACCUCUCCUUUUCAAUCUGUUGUGAAUCUCAUCAACAAACUUCGACAGCGGAAACUCUUCUCCAACAGAACUGCGACACGGCGUUUCGUGAACCACCGCACUAACUCAGUUCCACGUGUACUUUGUCAGCCACGGCUUCUUAUAAUAGCGGAACAAGGCGUCGAGUUCCUUCUCUAAGGUUUCCACUUACUUCUCCUCGGCAUUCUUUAGGUUUUGCAGCCUCCAUGAAAGUUUCUUCCGGCCCCGCGGGGCUUCGGAGUGAUAGUCUUGGCAAUUAUAACCUGAUAUGUUUAUAAUGCAAUAUUCAUUUUAAACCAUGAUUGCACUGCCAAUAAGAGCAGCAUCAAGAAGAAGCAACUUCAGUUAUAAAGUGUUGUGCUAAUCCAACAUAGCAGUGCAAAAAUAGUCACGUUUACAUUGGGCUGUGUUUCUCGUUGCAGUUCAUUGUGCAUGUUUGCUUUCUCUUUCUCAGCUUCUCUUCGGUUUCCUCUAACUGUUUCAUUAGCAAUUUAUUUUCUUGAUUUGCUCU
Vigna radiata var. radiata (mung bean) is the source of this 1289-nucleotide long non-coding RNA. RefSeq lists it as uncharacterized. The record is from RefSeq and is a predicted model, not a curated record. NCBI's taxonomy places the organism in Eukaryota, Viridiplantae, Streptophyta, Magnoliopsida, Fabales, Fabaceae. The transcript is spliced from 3 exons.